Molecule: ribosomal RNA, 492 nt
Filed under: uncultured bacterium
Lineage: Bacteria
Description: partial 16S ribosomal RNA
Rfam family: Bacterial small subunit ribosomal RNA
Source: RNAcentral
AGUGAACGCUGGCGGUAGGCCUAACACAUGCAAGUCGAACGGCAGCACAGUAAUAGCUUGCUCUUACGGGUGGCGAGUGGCGGACGGGUGAGGAAUACAUCGGAAUCUACUUUUUCGUGGGGGAUAACGUAGGGAAACUUACGCUAAUACCGCAUACGACCUACGGGUGAAAGCAGGGGAUCUUCGGACCUUGCGCGAUUGAAUGAGCCGAUGUCGGAUUAGCUAGUUGGCGGGGUAAAGGCCCACCAAGGCGACGAUCCGUAGCUGGUCUGAGAGGAUGAUCAGCCACACUGGAACUGAGCCACGGUCCAGACUCCUACGGGAGGCAGCAGUGGGGAAUAUUGGACAAUGGGCGCAAGCCUGAUCCAGCCAUACCGAGUGGGUGAAGAAGGCCUUCGGGUUGUAAAGCCCUUUUGUUGGGAAAGAAAAGCAGCAGGUUAAUACCCCGCUGUUCUGACGGUACCCAAAGAAUAAGCACCGGCUAACUUCGUG